This 539-nucleotide ribosomal RNA is filed under the name uncultured bacterium. Its description in RNAcentral is "bacterial SSU rRNA". It matches the Rfam family "Bacterial small subunit ribosomal RNA", at positions 771 to 1311 of the family's 1533-position model. The record is from RNAcentral.
AACCGGAUUAGAUACCCUGGUAGUCCACGCCCUAAACGAUGUCUACUAGUUGUCGGGUUUUAAUUAACUUGGUAACGCAGCUAACGCGUGAAGUAGACCGCCUGGGGAGUACGGUCGCAAGAUUAAAACUCAAAGGAAUUGACGGGGACCCGCACAAGCGGUGGAUGAUGUGGAUUAAUUCGAUGCAACGCGAAAAACCUUACCUACCCUUGACAUGUACGGAAGGCCGAAGAGAUUUGGCUGUGCUCGAAAGAGAACCGUAACACAGGUGCUGCAUGGCUGUCGUCAGCUCGUGUCGUGAGAUGUUGGGUUAAGUCCCGCAACGAGCGCAACCCUUGUCAUUAGUUGCUACAUUUAGUUGAGCACUCUAAUGAGACUGCCGGUGACAAACCGGAGGAAGGUGGGGAUGACGUCAAGUCCUCAUGGCCCUUAUGGGUAGGGCUUCACACGUCAUACAAUGGUACAUACAGAGGGCCGCCAACCCGCGAGGGGGAGCUAAUCCCAGAAAGUGUAUCGUAGUCCGGAUCGCAGUCUGCAAC